RNAcentral lists this unclassified non-coding RNA (298 nucleotides) under plant metagenome. RNAcentral describes it as "partial contains small subunit ribosomal RNA and internal transcribed spacer 1". The stretch from base 1 to 53 matches the Rfam family "Eukaryotic small subunit ribosomal RNA", at positions 1778 to 1831 of the family's 1831-position model. The record is from RNAcentral.
GGAAGUAAAGUCGUAACAAGGUAACCGUAGGUGAACCUGCGGUUGGAUCAUUACUGAUUCGUAAAAUGCUUUGUGUAUUGUGUUUGGUUCCCUUUUUUUUCUUUGGUUUCAGGAGGGAAGAGAGGCUUGUACUUUUUUUUUUCUUGAGAUUGAGGGAAAGGGGGCCACCGCCCACAAGACUAAAGCCGAUUAUCAUCCUUUUUGCUUUGUAUUGUUGUCAGCUUCUGAGCUGAGGAAGGCCCGCCCGUUAAAAGGCUUGUGUCCCACCGCGUUUCGUUGGUUUUUAAUGUUCAAGGAC